RNAcentral lists this unclassified non-coding RNA (310 nucleotides) under plant metagenome. RNAcentral's name for it is "partial contains 5.8S ribosomal RNA, internal transcribed spacer 2, and large subunit ribosomal RNA". The stretch from base 1 to 106 matches the Rfam family "5.8S ribosomal RNA", at positions 49 to 154 of the family's 154-position model. The record is from RNAcentral.
CGAAAUGCGAUAAGUAAUGUGAAUUGCAGAAUUCAGUGAAUCAUCGAAUCUUUGAACGCACAUUGCGCCCCUUGGUAUUCCAUGGGGCAUGCCUGUUCGAGCGUCAUUUGUACCCUCAAGCUCUGCUUGGUGUUGGGUGUUUGUCCCGUCUCCGCGCGUGGACUCGCCCCAAAGUGAUUGGCAGCCGGCGUACUGGUCCCGGAGCGCAGCACAUGUCGCGCAAACGAGUGCCUUGGUACGGCGGCGUCCAUAAGCCCCUCUCUCACGCUCUUGACCUCGGAUCAGGUAGGGAUACCCGCUGAACUUAAGC